RNAcentral lists this ribosomal RNA (876 nucleotides) under uncultured bacterium. Its description in RNAcentral is "bacterial SSU rRNA". It matches the Rfam family "Bacterial small subunit ribosomal RNA", at positions 8 to 916 of the family's 1533-position model. The record is from RNAcentral.
AGAGUUUGAUCCUGGCUCAGAACGAACGCUGGCGGCAUGCCUAACACAUGCAAGUCGAACGGGAUCCGGGGCUUCGGCCCCGGUGAGAGUGGCGGACGGGUGAGUAACGCGUGGGAACCUGCCCGGCGGUCGGGAAUAACCGCGGGAAACCGCGGCUAAUACCGGAUACGCCCCCUCGGGGGGAAAGAUUUAUCGCCGUCGGAGGGGCCCGCGUCGGAUUAGGUAGUUGGCGGGGUAACGGCCCACCAAGCCUGCGAUCCGUAGCUGGUCUGAGAGGACGAUCAGCCACACUGGGACUGAGAUACGGCCCAGACUCCUACGGGAGGCAGCAGUGGGGAAUAUUGGACAAUGGGCGCAAGCCUGAUCCAGCAAUGCCGCGUGAGUGAAGAAGGCCCUAGGGUUGUAAAGCUCUUUCGCCCGCGACGAUGAUGACGGUAGCGGGAGAAGAAGCCCCGGCUAACUCCGUGCCAGCAGCCGCGGUAAUACGGAGGGGGCUAGCGUUGUUCGGAAUUACUGGGCGUAAAGGGCGCGUAGGCGGCCCGCCAAGUCCGGCGUGAAAGUCCUGGGCUCAACCCGGGGACGGCGCUGGAGACUGGCGGGCUGGAGUCCGGGAGAGGGUGGCGGAAUUCCCAGUGUAGAGGUGAAAUACGUAGAUAUUGGGAAGAACACCGGUGGCGAAGGCGGCCACCUGGCCCGGGACUGACGCUGAGGCGCGAAAGCGUGGGGAGCAAACAGGAUUAGAUACCCUGGUAGUCCACGCCGUAAACGAUGCGUGCUAGACGUCGGGGGGCAUGCCCUUCGGUGUCGCAAGCCAACGCGUUAAGCACGCCGCCUGGGGAGUACGGCCGCAAGGUUAAAACUCAAAGGAAUUGACGG